AAUGAACGCUGGCGGCAGGCCUAACACAUGCAAGUCGAACGGGUCCUUCGGGACUAGUGGCGGACGGGUGAGUAACGCGUGGGAACGUGCCCCUUGGUACGGAAUAGCCCCGGGAAACUGGGAGUAAUACCGUAUGUGGUCGAGAGACGAAAGAUUUAUCGCCAAGGGAUCGGCCCGCGUUGGAUUAGGUAGUUGGUGGGGUAAUGGCCUACCAAGCCGACGAUCCAUAGCUGGUUUGAGAGGAUGAUCAGCCACACUGGGAGUGAGACACGGCCCAGACUCCUACGGGAGGCAGCAGUGGGGAAUCUUAGACAAUGGGGGAAACCUUGAUCUAGCCAUGCCGCGUGAUCGAUGAAGGCCUUAGGGUUGUAAAGAUCUUUCAGGUGGGAAGAUAAUGACUGUACCACCAGAAGAAGCCCCGGCUAACUCCGUGCCAGCCGCCGCGGUAA
This 449-nucleotide ribosomal RNA is filed under the name uncultured bacterium. Its description in RNAcentral is "partial 16S ribosomal RNA". It matches the Rfam family "Bacterial small subunit ribosomal RNA", at positions 29 to 523 of the family's 1533-position model. The record is from RNAcentral.